Non-coding RNA from Triticum aestivum (bread wheat), 135 nucleotides. The record is from Rfam. NCBI's taxonomy places the organism in Eukaryota, Viridiplantae, Streptophyta, Magnoliopsida, Poales, Poaceae.
CAACUACUCUGUCUGUCCCAAAUUUCUUGUCUUAGAUUUGUCUAGAUACGGAUGUAUCUAAUACUAAAAUGUGACUUGAUACAUCCGUAUCUAGAACAAUCUAAGACAAGAAUUUUGGGACGGAGGGAGUACUUU